GUACGUCUGUUAUGAUCCUACAUCGCAACGAAUUCAAAUUUCUCGUAAUGUUAAAUUUUUCGAACCGGACCGAAUCGAUUCGCGCCUACCUCUAAUGGUGGGACUCAAAAAUGGUACGUCUGUUAUGAUCCUACAUCGCAACGAAUUCAAAUUUCUCGUAAUGUUAAUUUUUUUUUGACAAACAAUCAUUCUUCUGUUCAAAAACUGUUGUUUUCCCUUGUGUUCUUUGUCUUACCUGAUUUCCCUUUAGAACCAUCUCGGUACAAACCCGGCUAUGUUUACACUGCAGGGAUGCUGUAUCUAUCACUAAUCUAGAUCUUCUUUCUUAGACGACGGUCCUUCCCAGCCCUUCUGAUCCUCCAACUACGACGCCUGAUGAUUUGUCGCCUCCUGUCGCUCUUCGUCGUACUUCUCGUGUUUCUUGACCACUAGAUAGGUAUGGUUUUUCCACCUAUAGUUCUAUAUCUACUACACUUAAUUCGAUUUCUAUUUCUUCCUCCUAUAGACAAGCUAUGGAACAUGAAUGUUGGCAAUAGGCGAUGAAAGCAGAACUCGAGUCUGCACCUGAUGAUUUGUCGCCUCCUGUCGCUCUUCGUCGUACUUCUCGUGUUUCUUGACCACCAGAUAGGUAUGGUUUUUCCACCUAUAGUUCUAUAUCUACUACACUUAAUUCGAUUUCUAUUUCUUCCUCCUAUAGACAAGCUAUGGAACAUGAAUGUUGG
RNAcentral lists this long non-coding RNA (722 nucleotides) under Olea europaea (common olive). RNAcentral's name for it is "long non-coding RNA (OEUR_LNC014093)". Lineage: Eukaryota; Viridiplantae; Streptophyta; Magnoliopsida; Lamiales; Oleaceae. The record is from RNAcentral.